CAGAAACACCCUCUGAUACUCAGUGUGUCAGUCACACCGGGAUUCAUUCACUGAGUUCCGGGAGCAAGGCAGCUUUUCAAGGCUGGGCACUAAACAGGGGGAGCUUUGUGAGUGCCUAGACUCCUCUGCCGGCCACCUGCUCUUCCUCUCCUUGGCUUCCACGAAGAAAGCUGCAUGAGAGCAGGGAAUUGCUUUGUCCAAUGCUAAUCACUAAAGCUUAGAAUACUGCUUGUUACAUGGGCCAGAAGUCAAGAAUAGGAGAGCAGCAGAAAACCACUAAAUAUGACAGCCAGCUUCACAUGGUUGGGGACCUCUGGCUGGUGAUGUUACCUGCCACAGGAUGUGCCCUGCCCAAUCAGCUUGCCAAGUCUAGCUUGUGCACUGGUUCCUGAGUUCUUGUCCUGUGCCCAAGAAGAAUGAGGAUGUGCUGACCAUUGAAGGAGUCUUGUUCUGUUGACCAGGCUGGAAUGCUGUGGUGUGAUCUCGCCUCAUUUCAACCUCCACCUCCCAGGUUCAAGCGAUUCUCCUGCCUCAGCCUCCCGAGUAGCUGAGACUACAGAGCCACCUCUUAGUUGGACUAUUUCACUGCAACAGUCCCCUUCAGCUGAUGCUGAGUCUAUGGACCGAUUCCGGUCUGAGAACUGGGAAGGAGCUCUAGCUCUCCAAACAGGGUAACUCUAUUGUAGAAGUUGCUAUAGAGUCUUUCAACAAGGCAGGAACCACCUCAUCAGGUUAGGAAAAUGAGAUAUUUAAACUCACAGUGGGCUGUGAAUUGAGAAGUCAUGUGAAUCCUAAAAGUUCUCCAAUAUCCCUUCAUUUUAAUUAGUAGGUUCUAUUCUUUCCCAAUACUAACCUUUAGGGUUUAUGUAAGAGAUCUAAUGAGACUAUGAAUUAAUAGACAUCGGAAUGUGGCAGCAUACUGCAUCAAAUGAGGGUUUUGUUUCUAGCUUUCUCAGAACAGUGGCUGCAAAAGUUAAGAAAUUCAUAGAAAGUCCCUAGUUUUCAGUAAAUGGCUGAUACGGUUUGGCUGUGUCCCCGCCCAAAUCUCAUCUUGAAUUGUAGUUCCCCUAAUCCCCACAUGUGGUGGGAGGGACCUGGUGGGAGGAAAUUGGAUCAUGGGGGUGGUUACCCUCAUGUUGUUUUUGUGAUAGUGAGUGAGUUCUCACAAGACCUGAGGAUUUUAUAAGGGGCUUUUCCCCCUUUUGCUGGGGACUUCUCCUUGCUGCUGCCAUGUGAAGGACAUGUUUGCUUCCCCUUCUGCCAUGAUUGUAGGUUUCCUGAGGCCUCCUCAGCCACGCUGAACUGUGAGUCAAUUAAAUGUCUUUCCUAUAUAAAUUACCCAGUUUGGGGUAUGUCCUUAUUAGCAGUGUGAGAACAGACUAAUACAAUGCCUGAACCAAUAAACUACAAAUUUAGCUUAUAAUUUUCCUUUUUAAAUCUUUCAUGUGUUCUUACAAGGAAAGUCUUCAGGGCUAGGUGCACUGGCUUAUUCCUGUAAUCCCAGCACUUUGGGAGGCUAAGGCAGGUGGUUUGCUUGAGCUCAGGAGCUUGAGACCAGCCUGAGCAACAUGGCAAAACCCCACCUCUACAAAAAAUACAAAAAUUAACCAGGUGUGGUGGUGCACACCUGUAGUCCCAGCUAUUCAGGAGGCUGAGGUGGGAGGAUCACUUGAUUCCAAGAGGUUGAGGCUUCAGUGAACAGCAAUCAUGCCACUGCAUUGCAGCCUGGGCAACAGAGUGAGACCCUAUCUCAAAAACAAAAAAAAAAAAGAAAGAAAAAAAGAAAAAGAAAUAAUGCCUUCAGCUCAUAGUCUUUGAGACCUUCAAGUCUUUCAUACACUUAUAUAGCAGCAGAGCCUGGGUGUUCUAAAGCCUUGCCUUCUAUUGUACCUGAUCCCAGGUAAUGAAACAUAAUAAUUUAGCUAUCUGUUUUGCUCCCAAGUGCCAUUAGCUGUCCAAGAUAUACCCCUUUAAAGGAGGUGAAUUUUCACUAUUCAAUGUCUAACGAGGAGAGAUACACAAUUUUUAGUCCUCUAUUCCCCCAAGUUGCUACUGACAACAACCACUUCAGUUCGGAGUUAGUCACAUGCCAUGAAACCAACUCUGACUGACUUUAACUAAAAACAAAUUCAUUAAAAGGGCUGAUGGUAGCUUACAGAAUCACCAGGUGGGUUGGCUGAAUAAAGAGGCAUCAAAUCCCUUUACGAUCUAACUCUUGCCUAUAUAUUUGAAUUUAAUGUUCACAAUUCUCCUUUAUGUACAUUGCACUCUAGUUCUGGAAUAAUUCAAUUCCCAAAUGUGCUAUGCUGUCACACCUGUAUGCUUUCCCAUAAGCUAUACUUUUUGCUUGAAAUGAUACUUUCCUACUUUUAAGCUCUUAAUCUACUACUUUUUUUCAUGCAUUACCUUCUUUAUCAAGUAUUCUAUGAUAAUCCUAACUAGAACUGCCAUUGAGAAUCUCUCAUGAUCUUAUACCCAUUACAAUACAUGUUAUCAUAUUGUACAUUAUAGUACAUUGUGCUAUGCAUCAUAUGCUAUAUAAAUAUACUAAUUACAAUGAGGUAUGAUAAUUUAAACAAAUUUGAUUCCCCUACUUGACUUUGCAUAGCUUAUCUCCUGUUCUAGCAAAUAUUUGAAAUGUAGCAAAUAUUCAAUUAAUAUUGAAUGAGAAGACAAACGAACCAAUAAUCAUUUUUUGGAAAAGAUAAUUUAUGAAUUCACAGUAACAGGUAACAUGUUACUGUUACAAGUAUUUCUUUAAAGCAUAUAAAAUUUUCUCUAUCUGAUCUUAAAUCUCACCUGUUUCUUCAGGAUCCUCACUUUCUUGUUGGGGAGAUGACCUAGAGCUUGUUGGUAUCUUGUUCUAAGUUAAUUUUACUCACCAUUGCUUACCGCACUGAACCUUUCCUUUGAAGAGUAUUUCUCACACUCAAUAAAAUGGAAAAAUUUAUCAUCCCUAAGCUCUUAUCAUCCAAAAACAUCUGACCAAAUAUCUCCCUAACACUGAGGCUAAGUGUCCUGACAAGCAGUUGCAAAGAUUUUCAUGAAUCUUCUUUUUCUCUGCCAAGUGGGAGUCCACAAAGGCUAUAUAAAACAUGAACAGACAAUGGGGAGGAAAAGACAAAGACUACGCUGGGAAGUGGGUGAAAAGAAAAACCAUGAUCAAAUGAGUCUGAUUAAUGCCCAGUGGCAGAUGCAAAGCAGUGGAGUCAUGGUCAGAGCAUUCCUAUGUCCGUAAAAAUUUUGGAUGUGUUCACCACAGGUUGCUUUUGUGAUUUAAACUCUCUACUAUUGGAUUAAUACAGUUACACCAUUUAAAACAUUGCAUAAUGCUAAAACAAUGCCAUAAAAUAUAAUCAUUCCCAAUUGCAGCCCCUACUCACAUAGUCUUCCUCCGCAAAAAUCUCUUCUGAUGUUUUCGGCUGAUUUUUUUUCUUGGCAUUUAGCAUGUCAGAAUUCCUAAGUAAUACACAAGUAUUUAUCAUUAAAUCAACAUUAGACAUCAUCUCUGGAUUUCCUGUAAUGUUAGAUGAAGAUUAAGCUGUCUUCUAUGUCAUCUCCUCUGCUUCCCCUCCCUUAUUUUCUUGAUUGCUUUAUUAUAAUUGUUUGUUAAAUAAAAAUACAGCUUAUACAUUAUCCUGACUAUAACUGGAACUGAGCAUUAAAUUGAAUCUUUAUUAGAAUUUAAAAAUAUUUAUUAAAUUAACAAAUGCCUUGUUUUUACAUUUGCUUCAUUUAUUGGUACCUAAUUGGUUAAGUCUCUAUAAACUCCAAAUACCUCCAGGUACAGUUUCCCACAAGGCCAAUCACAUCACGUAAUUUAUUGGUUUUACUUUGUGUAUUGUUUCACUCUGUGUGCAUAUGAAUUAUACUCACACACAC
RNAcentral lists this long non-coding RNA (3882 nucleotides) under Homo sapiens (human). Its description in RNAcentral is "HSALNT0139924". The record is from RNAcentral. Lineage: Eukaryota; Metazoa; Chordata; Mammalia; Primates; Hominidae.